This 351-nucleotide long non-coding RNA is filed under the name Daucus carota (carrot). RNAcentral describes it as "long non-coding RNA (DCAR_LNC001197)". Lineage: Eukaryota; Viridiplantae; Streptophyta; Magnoliopsida; Apiales; Apiaceae. The record is from RNAcentral.
UAUAUAUAUAUAUAUAUAUAGGCAAAUGCUCAAAUACAAACUCCUUAGUGUACAAACGUACAAACAAUCACUAAAUGACUUGAAAAUAAUCACUAAAUGAUUGAACAGAAUCACUAAAUCUACCAAGGGGGUCUGAUGGAGAGAUAAGGGGAGGGGAGCACUUAUGGGGUGGCAUAGCCGAGUGGUGGUGCAGCGCGGCCGGCGGUAGCCGCGACGCCGGUGCGAGGGCAGUGCUAGAAACACGAUUGAGGGAGAGAGACACGAUUGAGGGAGAUGAGAAAAGAAGUGGUGAAUGUGUGUGUUUGUGUGUGUAUAGCACUAAUCGGUGAGCGAACAACCACAGAGAGAGAG